AAGGUUUUAAGUUAAAGAAACUAAUAGCCUUCAAAGCUAGAAAUAAAGAUCAUUUUUAAACCUUA
This 65-nucleotide transfer RNA is filed under the name Orophyllus montanus. RNAcentral's name for it is "tRNA-Trp". It matches the Rfam family "tRNA". From Rfam's summary of the family: Transfer RNA (tRNA) molecules are approximately 80 nucleotides in length. Their secondary structure includes four short double-helical elements and three loops (D, anti-codon, and T loops). Further hydrogen bonds mediate the characteristic L-shaped molecular structure. tRNAs have two regions of fundamental functional importance: the anti-codon, which is responsible for specific mRNA codon recognition, and the 3' end, to which the tRNAs corresponding amino acid is attached (by aminoacyl-tRNA synthetases). tRNAs cope with the degeneracy of the genetic code in two manners: having more than one tRNA (with a specific anti-codon) for a particular amino acid; and 'wobble' base-pairing, i.e. permitting non-standard base-pairing at the 3rd anti-codon position. The record is from RNAcentral. Lineage: Eukaryota; Metazoa; Arthropoda; Insecta; Orthoptera; Tettigoniidae.